GAAAGAUGGAAGUUCGUGUUGUGUCAAAAGAACUCAUAAAACCAUCUUCGCCAGCAAUCCAACAUAAAAAACCCUACAAACUCUGCCUUUUAGAUCAGCUUACUCCUUCAACUUAUUCACCAGUUAUUUUCUUCUACCCCAUGGAACCUUCUUAUUCCGCCAAAGCCUUGUCUCGCCUGAAAAGUUCUCUCUCUGAGACCCUUAAUAUCUACUACCCUUUCUCUGGAAGAUUGAAUGAUAACCUCUAUAUUGAUCGUUUCAAUGAAGGUGUUCCAUUCUUCGAAGCCACAAUUAAUUGUCGCAUGUCUGAUUUCCUUAAACACCAUGAGAUUUUGUCUUUGAACCUUCUUUUGCCACUCCAGCCCUUUAGCAAGGCGGCAGACACGAACAUACCAAUACUAG
Molecule: unclassified non-coding RNA, 402 nt
Filed under: Hevea brasiliensis (rubber tree)
Lineage: Eukaryota; Viridiplantae; Streptophyta; Magnoliopsida; Malpighiales; Euphorbiaceae
Source: RNAcentral